CCUACGGGAGGCAGCAGUGGGGAAUAUUGGGCAAUGGGCGCAAGCCUGACCCAGCAACGCCGCGUGAAGGAAGAAGGCUUUCGGGUUGUAAACUUCUUUUCUCAGGGACGAAGCAAGUGACGGUACCUGAGGAAUAAGCCACGGCUAACUACGUGCCAGCAGCCGCGGUAAUACGUAGGUGGCAAGCGUUAUCCGGAUUUACUGGGUGUAAAGGGCGUGUAGGCGGGGACGCAAGUCAGAUGUGAAAACCACGGGCACAAACUGUGGCCUGCAUUUGAAACUGUGUUUCUUGCGUAAUGGAGAGGCAGAAGGAAUUCCUAGGGUAGCGGUGAAAUGCGUAGAUAUUAGGAGGAACACCAGUGGCGAAGGCGGUCUGCUGGACAGCAACUGACGCUGAGGCGCGAAAGCGUGGGGAGCAAACAGGAUUAGAUACCCUAGUAGUC
This 443-nucleotide ribosomal RNA is filed under the name uncultured bacterium. RNAcentral describes it as "partial 16S ribosomal RNA". It matches the Rfam family "Bacterial small subunit ribosomal RNA", at positions 338 to 795 of the family's 1533-position model. The record is from RNAcentral.